AGCAGCCGCGGUAAUUCCAGCUCCAAUAGCGUAUAUUAAAGUUGUUGCAGUUAAAAAGCUCGUAGUUGAAUUUCGGGGUUAGUAGGUUGGUCAUGCCUCUGGUAUGUACUGGUCUCACUGAUUCCUCCUUCCUGAUGAACCUUAAUGCCAUUAAUUUGGUGUUUUGGGGAAUUUGGACUGUUACUUUGAAAAAAUUAGAGUGUUUAAAGCAAGCUAACGCUUGAAUACAUUAGCAUGGAAUAAUGAAAUAGGACGUUCGAUCCUAUUUUGUUGGUUUCUAGGAUUGACGUAAUGAUUAAUAGGGAUAGUUGGGGGCAUUAGUAUUCAAUUGUCAGAGGUGAAAUUCUUGGAUUUAUUGAAGACUAACUACUGCGAAAGCAUUUGCCAAGGAUGUUUUCAUUAAUCAAGAACGAAAGUUAGGGGAUCGAAGACGAUCAGAUACCGUCGUAGUCUUAACCAUAAACUAUGCCGACUAGGGAUAGGAUGAUGUUAAUUUUUUAAUGACUCA
This 508-nucleotide ribosomal RNA is filed under the name uncultured Glomus. RNAcentral describes it as "SSU rRNA". It matches the Rfam family "Eukaryotic small subunit ribosomal RNA", at positions 569 to 1078 of the family's 1831-position model. The record is from RNAcentral. Lineage: Eukaryota; Fungi; Glomeromycota; Glomeromycetes; Glomerales; Glomeraceae.